Molecule: long non-coding RNA, 328 nt
Filed under: Homo sapiens (human)
Lineage: Eukaryota; Metazoa; Chordata; Mammalia; Primates; Hominidae
Description: HSALNT0109908
Source: RNAcentral
GGAGGGAUUUUCUGAGAUGUGAAUACCUGAGCAUGUUUGAGGGCGGAGAGGAAGGAGCAGUGGAGAGGCACACGAGAAGGCAAAAGAAAAAAAAGAAGAGAUGAAGCAAAGUUCUAAGUAGAUAGGUGGAUAUGGAUCUAAGAGUAAAAGUGGAUCAGGACACCACAGAAAAGAGGAAACACUUGCCUUCCAUUAUGUUUGGUUCCACCAGGAGUUGGAAGUUAGCCAAGUGGGUUCAGCCAAAGGUCAAGAAGGAGACAGAAUUGCAGCUGCUUCUUAAAGUGUAUUUGAAAUGGUGCCUCAGUACUGACACAUCCAUCCACUCACU